The sequence is a ribosomal RNA, 500 nucleotides long. It matches the Rfam family "Bacterial large subunit ribosomal RNA", at positions 1817 to 2597 of the family's 2925-position model.
AGCCUUUAGCUAAACAAGUAUUAAAGGUAAUGCCUGCCCAGUGAAAUUGUUUAACGGCCGCGGUACUCUAACCGUGCAAAGGUAGCGUAAUCACUUGUCUACUAAUUAUAGACCGGUAUGAAAGGCCACAUGAGAGCCAAACUGUCUCUUGCAGUUUAUCAAUAAAACUGAUCUUUUAGUACAAAAGCUAAAAUAACACCAUAAGACGAGAAGACCCUGUGAAGCUUCAAAAACCUCCGCCAAAUCCCAUGGUGGAUACUUUUAGUUGGGGCAACUUUGGAACAAAAUAAAACUUCCAAGAGGUAGUUACCUAACAAGACUGACAAGUCAACCACGACCCAGCAUGACUGAAAAACGAACCAAGUUACUCCAGGGAUAACAGCGCAAUCUUCUUCAAGAGCCCAUAUCAAAAAGAGGGUUUACGACCUCGAUGUUGGAUCAGGACACCCAAGUGGCGCAGCCGCUACUAAAGGUUCGUUUGUUCAACGAUUAACAGUCCU